GACGAACGCUGGCGGCGUGCUUAACACAUGCAAGUCGAACGGAAAGGCCCUUCUUUUGUUGGUUGCUCGAGGGGCGAACGGGUGAGUAACACGUGAGUAGCCUUCCCUUUACUUUGGGAUAACUUCAGGAAACUGGGGCUAAUACCGGAUAGGAUCUCCUGCUGCAUGGGGGUGGUUGGAAAGUUUGGGCGGGUGGGGAUGGACUCGCGGCUUAUCAGCUUGUUGGUGGGGUAGUGGCUUACCAAGUCUUGGACGGGUAGCCGGCCUGGGAGGGUGCCCGGCAAAAUUGGGCCUGAGAUACGGCCCAGACCCUAACGGGAGGAAGAAGUGGGGAAUAUUGCACAAGGGGCGGAAGCCUGAUGAAGAAACGCCGCGUGCGGGAUGCCGGCCUUCGGGUUGAAACCCGCUUUAGCCUGUGACGAAGCGUGAGUGACGGUAAUGGGUAAAGAAGCACCGGCUAACUACGUG
This 468-nucleotide ribosomal RNA is filed under the name uncultured bacterium. Its description in RNAcentral is "partial 16S ribosomal RNA". It matches the Rfam family "Bacterial small subunit ribosomal RNA", at positions 28 to 507 of the family's 1533-position model. The record is from RNAcentral.